GAAUGGGACACAAACACCACCAAGUGCUUAAUAACAUAUGCAAAUAUUGGCACACUUAUUAUGCAUGAUUUUAGUUGUUAUUACUUUUUUCUUUCAUAACUGUGCGUUGGCACCUCAGCAUUUCAUUAUAUUUCGUAUUCAUUGUGCAGGGCACUUCCCAAGUGUUAAUUUAACAACCAGGCGUGGUGGAGAGUAGGAUGGUCAAUGGGAGAAGCGUGUAACAGCGAUGCUUCCAUGUAGUCACACAGGCUCUAUGUGUGACUAUAUUCACAUUUCAGAUGCUGAGCUUUGCAGUUACCCUUUGAGAGGAAAGAGCUGCUAGUGUUUUAUCUCUAACUUUCUCAUUAUCCCCAAUAGUGAGUCUUAAAAAGAAGGCAAUGGAUAUCCAGCUCAGUUCAGGCAUGAGCAGGUUGUCCUUUUGCAAGAUGUCGCAGGUGAUUUCAGGUGAAACUCCUCCUUAACAUCAAAGAGGCCACAAUUCCUCUUGCAAACUGGGUUUGCUUUUUCGAAAAGGAAUCAAUGAACCCAAUCCUCAGCAAAACUGAUUCAGGGAGAAGGUUGUUAAGGCCACAGUUUGGAAAACUGAACUGCCUUAAUCCAUGAAGUCACACCAUUUACAGGUAGCCCCAGACCUUUAUGUAGUAAGUAGCCCUGCUGGGAAGCACCAUGAUUGUCAUCAGCAUGAACAAGGGAGAUUUCACUCACCACCGCCCUAAACAAUAUCAUCUUUGUGGCCAGGCAUGUGAAGCUGUAAAAUUCUGCAGUCAUUAGGGGAAGAAGAAUGUCACAGUUUUUGCAGGAGAAAAAUAGAUGCCAGAAUCCUCGCUUUGACAGGGCCUCAUCUGGCAAGAUGCUGAGUGGACUAACGUGGCCGGGUGAGAUCCGAGAGCGCUCAGCACCUCGAGGGAGAAAUUCCAGACCUUGCAGCAACUGCACCUCCCUCCACACAGCCUGUCUGCGGUCAUUUCUAUAGCCCUUUGUCCCAGUCAGAGCUCACGUUUGCUUAUCAUCUUUUCCAUCACAAACACCAAAGCUAAAUGCGGAUCUCCCACCGAUCUCGCCAACACGUGCUGACAAGCCUUUCAUCUCAAAGGGACUACAGAGCCUGACAGCUUCCCAGACUCCUGAAAUGCUGAAUACAUAUCCAUAAUUUAACCUCUGCCUCUCAGCCUGCUUCAGGACUCAUACGUGGCAUUGUCUGUGGAAUGAAAGUGAUGGGAUCCUGGGACGUAAGUGAA
Pezoporus occidentalis (night parrot) is the source of this 1238-nucleotide long non-coding RNA. RefSeq lists it as uncharacterized. Lineage: Eukaryota; Metazoa; Chordata; Aves; Psittaciformes; Psittacidae. The transcript is spliced from 3 exons. The record is from RefSeq and is a predicted model, not a curated record.